CACCGCGGUUAUACGAGAGGUCCAAGUUGAUAGACACCGGCGUAAAGGGUGGUUAUGGAUCUACCCCCCCCCCUAAAGUCGAACACCCCCCACGCCGUUAUACGCGCCCGGAGGCACGAAGCCCCAUCACGAAAGUGACUUUACCCCCCUCCCCGAACCCACUACAGCUAUGGAA
This 175-nucleotide ribosomal RNA is filed under the name Bathypterois mediterraneus. Its description in RNAcentral is "partial 12S rRNA". Lineage: Eukaryota; Metazoa; Chordata; Actinopteri; Aulopiformes; Ipnopidae. The record is from RNAcentral.